AGGACGAACGCUGGCGGCGUGCUUAAACACAUGCAAGUCGAGCGGAAAGGCCCUUCGGGGUACUCGAGCGGCGAACGGGUGAGUAACACGUGAGUAAUCUGCCCCUAGCUCUGGGGAUAGCUCCGGGAAACCGGGAUUAAUACCGGAUACGACCACCUUAGACAUCUUUUGUGGUGGAAAGAAUUUCGGCUAGGGAUGAGCUCGCGGCCUAUCAGCUUGUUGGUGGGGUAACGGCCUACCAAGGCGACGACGGGUA
Molecule: ribosomal RNA, 256 nt
Filed under: uncultured bacterium
Lineage: Bacteria
Description: partial small subunit ribosomal RNA
Rfam family: Bacterial small subunit ribosomal RNA
Source: RNAcentral